This 507-nucleotide ribosomal RNA is filed under the name uncultured bacterium. Its description in RNAcentral is "partial 16S ribosomal RNA". It matches the Rfam family "Bacterial small subunit ribosomal RNA", at positions 28 to 523 of the family's 1533-position model. The record is from RNAcentral.
GACGAUCGCUGGCGGCGUGCCUAAUACAUGCAAGUCGAGCGGAACUGGGGGAGCUUGCUCCUUCAAGUUUAGCGGCGGACGGGUGAGUAACAAGUGGGCAACCUGCCCUGCAGAUCGGGAUAACUCCGGGAAACCGGUGCUAAUACAGAAUAGUUUGGCGCCUCUCCUGAGGUCUUACGGAAAGCCGUUUUAGGCUGUCACUGCAGGAUGGGCCCGCGGCGCAUUAGUCAGUGGGUGAGGUAACGGCUCACCAAGACGAUGAUCAGUAGGGGAACGGAGAGGGUGAACCCCCAAACUGGCACUGAGAUACGGGCCAGACUCCUACGGGAGGAAGCAGUAGGGAAUAUUGGUCAAUGGGUGAGAGCCUGAACCAGCCAUGCCGCGUGCAGGAAGACGGCCUUCUGGGUUGUAAACUGCUUGUAUCUGGGGAUAAAAUAUCCUUGCGAGGAGAAUUGAAGGUACCAGAGGAAUAAGCCACGGCUAACUACGUGCCAGCAGCCGCCGUAA